AACCUGGGAACUGCAUUCGAAACUGGCAGGCUUGAGUCUUGUAGAGGGGGGUAGAAUUCCAGGUGUAGCGGUGAAAUGCGUAGAGAUCUGGAGGAAUACCGGUGGCGAAGGCGGCCCCCUGGACAAAGACUGACGCUCAGGUGCGAAAGCGUGGGGAGCAAACAGGAUUAGAUACCCUGGUAGUCCACGCCGUAAACGAUGUCUACUUGGAGGUUGUGCCCUUGAGGCGUGGCUUCCGGAGCUAACGCGUUAAGUAGACCGCCUGGGGAGUACGGCCGCAAGGUUAAAACUCAAAUGAAUUGACGGGGGCCCGCACAAGCGGUGGAGCAUGUGGUUUAAUUCGAUGCAACGCGAAGAACCUUACCUGGUCUUGACAUCCACAGAAGAAUCCAGAGAUGGAUUUGUGCCUUCGGGAACUGUGAGACAGGUGCUGCAUGGCUGUCGUCAGCUCGUGUUGUGAAAUGUU
Molecule: ribosomal RNA, 466 nt
Filed under: Salmonella enterica
Lineage: Bacteria; Pseudomonadati; Pseudomonadota; Gammaproteobacteria; Enterobacterales; Enterobacteriaceae
Description: bacterial SSU rRNA
Rfam family: Bacterial small subunit ribosomal RNA
Source: RNAcentral